RNAcentral lists this ribosomal RNA (253 nucleotides) under uncultured bacterium. RNAcentral's name for it is "partial 16S ribosomal RNA". It matches the Rfam family "Bacterial small subunit ribosomal RNA", at positions 524 to 776 of the family's 1533-position model. The record is from RNAcentral.
UACAGAGGGGGCAAGCGUUGUUCGGAAUUACUGGGCGUAAAGGGCGCGUAGGCGGCCUUCUAAGUCGAACGUGAAAUCCCCGGGCUCAACCCGGGAACUGCGUCCGAUACUGGAAGGCUUGAAUCCGGGAGAGGGAUGCGGAAUUCCAGGUGUAGCGGUGAAAUGCGUAGAUAUCUGGAGGAACACCGGUGGCGAAGGCGGCAUCCUGGACCGAUACUGACGCUGAGGAGCGAAAGCCAGGGGAGCAAACGGG